RNAcentral lists this ribosomal RNA (277 nucleotides) under uncultured eukaryote. RNAcentral describes it as "partial 18S ribosomal RNA". It matches the Rfam family "Eukaryotic small subunit ribosomal RNA", at positions 21 to 290 of the family's 1831-position model. The record is from RNAcentral.
UAGUCAUAUGCUUGUCUCAAAGAUUAAGCCAUGCAUGUCUAAGUAUAAACAACUUUAUACUGUGAAACUGCGUACAGCUCAUUAUAUCAGCAAUAAUUUAUUUGAUGGUACCUUACUACAUGGAUACCCGUAGUAAUUCUAGAGCUAAUACAUGCGUAACGUCCCGACCCUUGCGGGGAGGGAUGUAUUUAUUAGAUACAAAACCAAUGCGGCUUUCGGGUCGGUUCCUUUGGUGAGUCAUAAUAACUGAUCGAAUCGCAUAGCUUCACGCUGGCGA